GCCGUAGGAACUCUCAAAAAUGUCAGGCUGAAAAAAUCAGACACAGCUUAACAGCCCAUGUAAAGUAUACAGAACAAUAAUCAUUUUGAUAGCAUGCCAUUCUCAUGUGUCAGUCCAAUCAGAGGAAGUUAAAGUGAAACAGAGUCACAUCUGAAUAGACUGGUCAAUGUUUCAGUGAAGAUUUUAUAUAUGUAGCAGAGAAGCAAACUAUAGAAAGAGCCAGUGAAUUUUAAAUGGUCUGAACAACAGAAUCUAGCAGUCUAAACAGAUUGGCUAAUACUUCCUUAGCCCUUUAUAUAACCUUGACUGUUCAGGCAAGCGCUGACUAUCCAGUUGUAGCUAGAAAAUAAAUGCUGAAUGCCCAAAGUUCAGAAAGUGCUCUGGAGGGAGACUAGGGAAUUUUAAGUAUUAUUUUCAACAUUAGCUUAGCUUUCAUUUUUAAACAGUUCUUCAAAAGCCUGAUAUGUUCAUUCUUAAUUAUCCUUUUCCCCAAAGCACUUCUGUCCUCUAGAAAUAACUACAUCAUAAGGGAAACUUAUACAAAUGCCAAGCUCAAAUAUUUUCCUUUUGAAAACAAUGCCAGCUCCAGAAACAUAUCACAAAGAGCUGAGACUGAAGGAAACACAAGGCAGAGAUCACCAUUCCUAAGAUGCUUACCGUUUAUUCAGAAGUAUAGUAAUCAAAUGUUCCACUAUAAAGAAAUGUAACUUCAUAUAGUUCUCAUAUAUUAAGAACAGAAUCUCCUCCAGAAUAAGCAGAGACAGAAUUUCUUAAAAACUUAGAGCUUCUGCUGUAGCAUACUAGGACUGCCAUCAUCUUGAGAGCGCUGGGACCAAGGUUCCAUCCCCAGCCAGGCAUAGUGGGUUAAAGAUCUGGCAUGGCCGAAGCUGUGGCUUCGGUCUCGACUGCAGCUCUGAUCUGAACCCUGGCCCGGGAGCGCCAUAUGCUGUGGGGCAGCCAAAACUGAAAAAAACGAACAAAAAAAUCUUAGAAUAUGCUAGGGACCAUGCUUUAUGCACACUGCCUUCAUUUCUCAACACUAUAAGGUACACAGUCUUAUUAUCUCCAUUUAACAAAUGAGAAAAAUGAAGCUGAGGGAGGCUGAAAAUUGCUAUCACAAAGCCAAUUAACAAAUGGUAGCAUGGGAUUUAGAAACCCAAGCUGUCUGAUCUCAAGGUUCCAUGUGCUUAACAACUAAGGACAUUCAUUAGGAAGCGAGGUAUUUGAAGAUGCAUUCAUUUUGUUCCCUUUGACCAAGAAGAUCCCAUUUAGUUUAAUGACAGCAGCCUCUAUAAUAUAAGGACACGUUUAGGAAUUUCUCUGAGAUGUACAAACACAUUUUCAAAUAAGCUUGACCAGCUAAAAUCCACCAAAACUGAGGUAACACCAGGUAAAUGAAAAUCUUAUUUAGUUUGGAUUUAAUUUUGAAAUAUGCAGAUUUAAUUUCUAUUACGAAUUCAUUUUUGCAAUGGUCAGAGGUUUUCUGAAAACACUGAUAUUUUAAGAGAGUUGUGAAGAGUAAUAGAAAAACCACAGGUGAAUAAACUUUCAAUAAAAACAGACAGUCAGGAUUAAAAUGUUUUACUAUAUAUAGAAACAUAAAAAUGAACUGACAUUCUUCAAACUAAUUUGUAAGCCCAGAUUCACACCAAGUACAUUCAAAACUGCUUCCUGCAUGUCCAAGUGAGAUGAGUUGUAAAAAAAAGUCAAUACACACUAAGAUACACUACUCGAAGCCCAAGAAUUCUCUAGAAUACAAGUGUGAGAGCUAAAUGCCUAUCAUCUGGAGUAUAUUUCAUCCUAAGAUCCUCAGAAGUCUACAUUAUUACUUGACCUGGCAGCACAAUAGUAAUUAAAUAUGCAGUCAUGUUAUUUGGUAAAAUCCCAAUUGAAUAUUAAACUACAAUGUGGUUCAAUCAAAUCACCACUGUUCUGCUGCUGAAACACACAGACACACAUACACACAAGCAUACACUUACCAAGAGUGUCUGUGGUGGUGUUAAAAAUAAAAAAUAAAGCAGUAGCUUCAAUACAAGUACUCAAGUAAACUGCUAAUCACUCAUCUGUAACAUUCUUCUUUGCAGGCUUUGUACUCCCUAAAACAGUAGCUUUCAAACCAUUUUGACUGUAACCCACAGCAAGAAAUACAUUUUUGAUCACACCCAGAGCAAACACACACACAGUUGCAACAAAUUUUAGAAAACAAUCUUCCUACCAUAUGCAGCUCGCUAAUUUCUACUCCAUUUCACUUGUUAAAAUGUUGGUUACAACUCAUUAAUUUGGUUUCCUGACCAACCAAUGGGUCAUGGCCAGCAAGUUACAAAGUACCACCCUCAAGUGCCUACCUGCCAGGUCAAAAGUUCAAGGAUGAAGUACAGAUGAGAAUAAGAGUAAGAAGGGAUAAGAACUUUAGAGUACCCACUGUCAAACUCUAUGUAAAGUUUAAAAAACGCAGAAUAGUUCUUGUUAAUUGUACUGCAUCUUAGCGGACAGACUCUUUGGGUUCCUGGCCAAGAUACUAUUCAAGAGGUUUGAAUUGACUCUUGGACAAUAAAGCAAAAGCAGUAUUACAUCCACUGGACAGAUGGGAAAACUGAGAGAAAAGAGGAUAAAUGCUUCGUUUGCUCACACAGUCCCUAGGAGAAUCCUCACAGGAAUUGAAUCCCAAUUGUGGUAACUGGCCAACUCUUUCAAGUUUUUCUAUAAAACUAAAAGCAAUGAGUCUUGUC
RNAcentral lists this long non-coding RNA (2729 nucleotides) under Sus scrofa (pig). Its description in RNAcentral is "lncRNA (ENSSSCG00045009163.1)". The record is from RNAcentral. Lineage: Eukaryota; Metazoa; Chordata; Mammalia; Artiodactyla; Suidae.